AUGAACACAAACUCCGCUGCACCUUGGUCCACUUCUUCAGACGACAGCCGUUACAGAAUUACCCACCACCAAGGGACCAAGCAGCGGAAGAGGGAGGUCCGGGCGAUGGAGGAGACGCCGGCCAGCAGACGGGGUCGCUGGCGUCGGUCGAGGAAGCCCGGAAGACACCCCCAAGAACAUUUUGGGGGGGGGCUAAUGGGGUGGUCCGGAAGGGCAGAGGAGGAGCCCAGACCACUGCUCUCGUGGGGGAUGACGGCAGAGGAGGAGACGGAGAUGAGGUGGUUUAUUGAGGACCUGCUGAAGGAAGAUCUGGAGGAGGAGCCAUGGGAUGCGGAGUUGCGCGCUGUGUCGCCAGUGCGUCCGCACAGCCCGGUGCGUCCGGUGGACAUGCCCAGCACAUGCCGUGCUAGGAAGGGCAUCCAGCCAGGACGAGUGGCAAAACCGGCUCCACGCUUCAGUUCACCAGUGCGUGUUCACAGUCCUGUCUGGCCCGUCCCUGCUCCCCGCACCAAGUCCACAGUGCAUGUCCCCAGUCCUGUCCGGUCCGUCCCUGCUCCCCGCACCAAGCCCAAGGUGCGUGUCCACAGUCCUGUCCGGCCCGUCCCUGCUCCCCGCACCAAGCCCAAGGUGCGUGUCCCCAGCCCUGCCAGUCAGCAGUCGUCAGAGCUGCCCGCCAGUCAACAGUCGUCAGAGCUGCCCGCCAGUCAACAGUCGUCAGAGCUGCCCGCCAGUCAACAGUCGUCAGAGCUGCCCGCCAGUCAACAGUCGUCAGAGCUGCCCGCCAGUCAACAGUCGUCAGAGCUGCCCGCCAGUCAACAGUCGUCAGAGCUGCCCGCCAGUCAACAGUCGUCAGAGCUGCCCGCCAGUCAACAGUCGUCAGAGCUGCCCGCCAGUCAACAGUCGUCAGAGCUGCCCGCCAGUCAACAGUCGUCAGAGCUGCCCGCCAGUCAACAGUCGCCAGAGAGGCCAGACUGCGCCGAACUGCCGGAGUGGCCAGACUGCGCCGAACUGCCGGAGUGGCCAGACUGCGCCGAACUGCCGGAGUGGCCAGACUGCGCCGAACUGCCGGAGUGGCCAGGGACGCCUGCCAGCCCGGUGAGUCCUGUGCCUACGCCUAGGGACAGGCCUCUGUCAUGUCUCCCCAGCCUGGUGAAUCCUGGGUCAGUGCCGUCGGAGCAGCCAGGGUCGCCCGCCAGCCGGGCGCAACCAUCGCCGGCCGCCAGCCGGGCGCAACAAGGGUCUCCCGCCAGCCGGGCGCAACCAUCGCCGCCCGCCAGCCGGGCGCAGUCAGCGUCGCCCACCAGACCUUCGGCGCAGCCAGGUGCGCCACCUAAGAGGGCGACGUCAAGGGUGGAGCAGAGGCCACGUCCCGCACCUGAGCCGCCGCCGUAA
RNAcentral lists this long non-coding RNA (1392 nucleotides) under Salmo trutta (river trout). RNAcentral describes it as "lncRNA (ENSSTUG00000048434.1)". Lineage: Eukaryota; Metazoa; Chordata; Actinopteri; Salmoniformes; Salmonidae. The record is from RNAcentral.